Molecule: ribosomal RNA, 254 nt
Filed under: uncultured bacterium
Lineage: Bacteria
Description: partial 16S ribosomal RNA
Rfam family: Bacterial small subunit ribosomal RNA
Source: RNAcentral
UACAGAGGUCCCAAGCGUUGUUCGGAUUCACUGGGCGUAAAGGGUGCGUAGGUGGUGAGGUAAGUCGGAUGUGAAAGCUCGGAGCUCAACUCCGAAAUGGCAUUGGAAACUACCUUGCUCGAGGGUUGGAGGGGGGACUGGAAUACUUGGUGUAGCAGUGAAAUGCGUAGAUAUCAAGUGGAACACCAGUGGCGAAGGCGAGUCCCUGGGCCGAUACUGACGCUGAGGAGCGAAAGCGUGGGGUAGCAAACAGG